This is a long non-coding RNA of Syngnathus acus (greater pipefish), 450 nucleotides long. RefSeq lists it as uncharacterized. The record is from RefSeq and is a predicted model, not a curated record. The transcript is spliced from 3 exons. Lineage: Eukaryota; Metazoa; Chordata; Actinopteri; Syngnathiformes; Syngnathidae.
ACAGGCAUGGACGCCGCCGUGGUGACCAGGCCACUGAUCAUACUGGCGCAGAAAUGACACAGGAUGUCAUCACCAAAGUAGCCUAAAGGGCACAAGAGGCAAGUGUGUGCGUGUGUUUCUACCUUCAAUGAUGUGUUUCCGCGACAGCCCCCGCUCUGUCUCGGCCCUGCAAAAUGCAACGUAAAGUCAACAUCUGAGUUUGUCUAGUGGCUGUGGCUGUACUCACUGUCCUCCCCAGUAGAUUUUCGUGGUCACCACAUAGCUGGACCGCCUGUUCAACAACAACAACAAUCACAGCAUCAACAACAAGGAGGACACCCAACAGACCAAAGUGGAGGUGCUGUGGGCAUGUUCACUCACCUGUAGGGCAUGCCGCUGUCCUCCAUGGUGACGUCACACUCCCUCAUGUAGAUUUCCAGCCGCCGCCUCUCCAUCACCUUCUUGGCCGCC